Molecule: transfer RNA, 75 nt
Filed under: Marmota monax (woodchuck)
Lineage: Eukaryota; Metazoa; Chordata; Mammalia; Rodentia; Sciuridae
Description: tRNA.Asp
Rfam family: tRNA
About the family: Transfer RNA (tRNA) molecules are approximately 80 nucleotides in length. Their secondary structure includes four short double-helical elements and three loops (D, anti-codon, and T loops).
Source: RNAcentral
UGGGGUUGUAGCUCAGAGGGAGAGAGCACUCGCCUAUCAUGCGUAAGGCGCUGGGUUCGAUCCUCAGCACCACAA